RNAcentral lists this ribosomal RNA (755 nucleotides) under Bacillus safensis. Its description in RNAcentral is "bacterial SSU rRNA". It matches the Rfam family "Bacterial small subunit ribosomal RNA", at positions 75 to 815 of the family's 1533-position model. The record is from RNAcentral. Lineage: Bacteria; Bacillati; Bacillota; Bacilli; Caryophanales; Bacillaceae.
GGAGCUUGCUCCCGGAUGUUAGCGGCGGACGGGUGAGUAACACGUGGGUAACCUGCCUGUAAGACUGGGAUAACUCCGGGAAACCGGAGCUAAUACCGGAUAGUUCCUUGAACCGCAUGGUUCAAGGAUGAAAGACGGUUUCGGCUGUCACUUACAGAUGGACCCGCGGCGCAUUAGCUAGUUGGUGGGGUAAUGGCUCACCAAGGCGACGAUGCGUAGCCGACCUGAGAGGGUGAUCGGCCACACUGGGACUGAGACACGGCCCAGACUCCUACGGGAGGCAGCAGUAGGGAAUCUUCCGCAAUGGACGAAAGUCUGACGGAGCAACGCCGCGUGAGUGAUGAAGGUUUUCGGAUCGUAAAGCUCUGUUGUUAGGGAAGAACAAGUGCGAGAGUAACUGCUCGCACCUUGACGGUACCUAACCAGAAAGCCACGGCUAACUACGUGCCAGCAGCCGCGGUAAUACGUAGGUGGCAAGCGUUGUCCGGAAUUAUUGGGCGUAAAGGGCUCGCAGGCGGUUUCUUAAGUCUGAUGUGAAAGCCCCCGGCUCAACCGGGGAGGGUCAUUGGAAACUGGGAAACUUGAGUGCAGAAGAGGAGAGUGGAAUUCCACGUGUAGCGGUGAAAUGCGUAGAGAUGUGGAGGAACACCAGUGGCGAAGGCGACUCUCUGGUCUGUAACUGACGCUGAGGAGCGAAAGCGUGGGGGAGCGACAGGAUUAGAUACCCUGGUAGUCCACGCCGUAAACGAUGAGUG